Molecule: ribosomal RNA, 225 nt
Filed under: uncultured bacterium
Lineage: Bacteria
Description: partial 16S ribosomal RNA
Rfam family: Bacterial small subunit ribosomal RNA
Source: RNAcentral
UACGAGAGGCCCAAACGUUUAUUCGGAUUUACUGGGCUUAAAGAGUUCGUAGGCGGUGCAGAAAGUGGGGUGUGAAAGCCCUCGGCUCAACCGAGGAAUUGCGCUCCAAAUCUACUGUACUAGAGGAAGCUAGAGGUGAGCAGAACAGAUGGUGGAGCGGUGAAAUGCGUUGAUAUCAUCUGGAAUACCGGAGGCGAAGGCGGCUCACUGGGCUUUCUGACGCUG